Molecule: long non-coding RNA, 417 nt
Organism: Oncorhynchus tshawytscha (Chinook salmon)
Lineage: Eukaryota; Metazoa; Chordata; Actinopteri; Salmoniformes; Salmonidae
Source: Ensembl
CUUUGGACAGGCAGGUUCUGCCCAUGUUACUAUGAUGUGGGCUUUGGACAGGCAGGUUCUGCCCAUGUUACUUUGAUGUGGGCUUUGGACAGGCAGGUUCUGCCCAUGUUACUUUGAUGUGGGCUUUGGACAGGCAGGUUCUGCCCAUGUUACUUUGAUGUGGGCUUUGGACAGGCAGGUUCUGCCCAUGUUACUAUGAUGUGGGCUUGGGACAGGCAGGUUCUGCCCAUGUUACUUUGAUGUGGGCUUGGGACAGGCAGGUUCUGCCCAUGUUACUUUGAUGUGGGCUUGGGACAGGCAGGUUCUGCCCAUGUUACUAUGAUGUGGGCUUGGGACAGGCACGACUGAUUCAUUUGUGUCACAGUCACACCAGGCAGACCACCCCUCUGUGGUGACUAUACAGUCACACCAGGCAGA